This 90-nucleotide microRNA precursor is filed under the name Microtus ochrogaster (prairie vole). Its description in RNAcentral is "miRNA (ENSMOCG00000003697.1)". Lineage: Eukaryota; Metazoa; Chordata; Mammalia; Rodentia; Cricetidae. The record is from RNAcentral.
GCCGUCGGCAUCUGUGGUUCCUCCAUGAAAACAGUGACUGGCGGGGCCUGGACCUGUAACAGGACUUCUGCCAUCACAGUGAAGUCUGCC